UUCGACGCAUGUGACAAAUAAUAUGUGAUUUGAUUUGAUUUGAUUAUGCCUGCCAUGUACCCUGUAAGCCAAUUGAUACAGUUUGUGUGUUUCAGUAAUUAAGACCAGAAUUCAGACCAUGUCACAGGGUAGUCAGGAGAACACCUACAGCAGUGACAGACUGCAUCAGGAAGAUUCUGCACCAAGAGGGUGCCUCUGCUUUCCAGAGGGGGCGUACUGCCGUGCUCUGGUCAUUGCUCCCCUCUUUGGCAUCGCACAUGUGGUCUACUUCCUGGGAGUGGGAGUUCCUUCUCAGCUUCCUGCCUCAACGGAACAACUAGUCUUGCACUCUCAUACACAGCCCACAAUGGAGCCAGAUAAUCUGGCUCUUUCCUAUCACACACAGCUGACAUUGGAGCUAGGUAAUCUGGUACCUUCCUCUCAGACACGGCCCACACUGGAGCCAGAUAAUCUGGCUCUUUCCUCUCAGACACAGCUGACAUUGGAGCUAGGUAAUCUGGUACCUUCCUCUCAGACACAGGCCCACACUGGAGCCAGAUAAUCUGGCUCUUUCCUCUCAGACACAAUUGACACGGAGCUAGAUAAUCUGGUCUUUCCUCUCAGACACAGCCCACACUGGAGCCAGGUAAUCUGUCACUUUCCUCUCAGACACAGCCCACACUGGAGCCAGGUAAUCUGUCACUUUCCUCUCAGACACAGCCCACACUGGAGCCAGAUAAUCUGGCUCUUUCCUCUCAGACACAGCCCACACUGAAGCCAGGUAAUCUGUCACUUUCCUAUCAGACACAGCCCACACUGGAGCCAGGUAAUCUGUCACUUUCUUCUCAGACACAGCCCACACUGGAGCCAGGUAAUCUGUCACUUUCCUCUCAGACACAGCCACACUGGAGCCAGGUAAUCUGUCACUUUCCUCUAAGACACAGCUGACACUGGAGCUAGAUAAUCUGGCUCUUUCCUAUCACACACAGCUGACAUUGGAGCUAGGUAAUCUGGUACCUUCCUCUCAGAC
Non-coding RNA from Salvelinus sp. IW2-2015, 1009 nucleotides. The record is from RefSeq and is a predicted model, not a curated record. NCBI's taxonomy places the organism in Eukaryota, Metazoa, Chordata, Actinopteri, Salmoniformes, Salmonidae.